UGGUGUAAACAAAACCAACUCACUGUUUAAGUAAUGUUUUUUUCCAGACAUUUGUGAUGGUGCUCUCUAAAGUCCAAUAUGCAUGACAGUCAUGCUACAUCAAGCUCAAUGGAGCCUCAUAUUCAACAUUUUUGAGACAAGCCAAAGAGAAGCUUAACAUCCCUGAAGAAACAAAUGUAUGUCUUGUGAAUGAAACUGGGUCGGAAGUUGAAGACAUAAGUGACAUUCCGGAGGAAAAAUCCAGCGUUGUCUGGAACAUCACAGAUGCCUUUUCUGUCAAAGAGAUGACAAGCUCAGUCCAGGGGAGGCAGCCCUACUACGUUUUAGCGGUUGGAGCAUUUCACCAUCAAUGACUACUCCAUAGUUGUGGAUCGUCAACUCAUUCCCUGCAAGGCUAAGUCAUAAAUUUUAGCUUCUGACGAACUCUUCAUUGAACAGUAUGUGCACUAAUGCCCCAAAAACAGAUUGCAAUAGCAUACCACUGGGAGUUGUUGUGUUUUAACUGCAUUGAUUAUGGAAAUGUAAAGACAGUGAGAAAGUGAGUAAACAAAUGAGGACAUUGUGGCAGAAAACAUACACGCUGACAUGAAUUGUGAUGUUGAUGUGAUAUCUUGGGUUGCAUGUGAUGCCAUGGAGUAUUUUGGUCUCAUUGUGGGUUCCAAGUUUGAAGUUGGAAUAUUCAGAUCUGUAUAUGGUACAUGCUGUUGUAGAAGAUAUUGAGACAGGAUUUGCUCUUGUAGGUUCUUGUAGAAAAGCUCUAUUUCACAUUAACUUGUUUGAAAAACUUAGAUGUUUGUGUUGUAGAAAAAAAUUACACAAUACUGCUAAAGUGUACCACUGAAGCUUGUCUAUUUUUUACACUUUCACAUUUUGUUAAUUGGGGUGGUCCUUGUUCAUAAUCACUAAGGAGCAUAGUACUGUCCAGUGCUAGAAGUUUAUACAAUUCUUGUAUUUAAAAUGGAAUGUUUAUAUAAAGGAUGUCCUUUAAUUUGCUUCAGUUACUGUAUACCUAUAAUGCUGCAAACUAAACUAAAAUAAAGUAUACUUGGACUUUC
Long non-coding RNA from Poecilia latipinna (sailfin molly), 1055 nucleotides. RefSeq lists it as uncharacterized. The record is from RefSeq and is a predicted model, not a curated record. NCBI's taxonomy places the organism in Eukaryota, Metazoa, Chordata, Actinopteri, Cyprinodontiformes, Poeciliidae. The transcript is spliced from 3 exons.